Long non-coding RNA from Spinacia oleracea (spinach), 565 nucleotides. RefSeq lists it as uncharacterized. The record is from RefSeq and is a predicted model, not a curated record. The transcript has 2 exons. NCBI's taxonomy places the organism in Eukaryota, Viridiplantae, Streptophyta, Magnoliopsida, Caryophyllales, Amaranthaceae.
UCAAGUUGAACCCUAAAACUAAUGCUCUCACUUGUCCCCCCCCCCACACCCACAAAGUCACACACCAACUUUCACAUUCUCUCUCUUCUACUUUCCCUCUUUCACUCCCCUUCUCACCAUCGCUCAUCAACCUCCCUCAAUCUCUCUCAUCUUUUUAUGUUGUUGAUGUUGCUUCUGCUUCCCCUUCGCAUCUGAUGUUGAUGUUGCUGCUAGGCUUGGCUUCCUCUUCCCUAUACACCAAGGACUCCAACUCUUCACUUCUUCAGCAGUCUUUCUCUCCCUCCCUCAUUUUAUUUUUCAGAUCUAUUGCUUCCGAGUCAACUCGGUGAAAAACUCAAGCAAUGAAGAACAUGAAGAAUUGUAAAUCUUUUUCUUAAUCUUGGUGAUAUUAUAGGGUGAUAGUAUAGGGAAGAUGAUUUUUUAAGUUCAGGUGAUUGUAAAUAAUUUUCUUUUUGAGCUACUUCAGAUGUUUAGAUCUACAUUUUAGUUGAAAUUUUACAUUUUUUUGGAUAUUCCUAUGUAAUUAUCACUGUUAUAUAUAUCUUAUUAUUUUGGUGAUUCUGUA